Danaus plexippus (monarch butterfly) is the source of this 2048-nucleotide long non-coding RNA. RefSeq lists it as uncharacterized. The transcript is spliced from 2 exons. NCBI's taxonomy places the organism in Eukaryota, Metazoa, Arthropoda, Insecta, Lepidoptera, Nymphalidae. The record is from RefSeq and is a predicted model, not a curated record.
ACAUACUUACAUCCGUGAAUAGUAAUUGCAUUUUAAAUUAGUAACUUUCUUUAAAAUUGUUUAGUGUGAUAAAUAACAGCUUUUCAUUUCUAACAGUAAUUUUAUAAGUUGUUCUUUUAGACUUAGUAUAAAUAACUUGUGACCCUUACCAACCUUAUCUCUAUCAAGAACACGAUUCUACACAUUAAAACUCCGUGUCUCCGGAACCUUACUAGACAAGCGCCGCUAAUUGCACAGAUUAAUAAAAGACAAUUAUGGUAAGACUUUUAAAAACAUGUUUAUAAAGUUACCAACAAUUAACAAAAACAAAAAUUGAAACUGAAACGACAAAACACAGUUAAAACAAACGAAGCAAAUAAAUAAAAGUUUGUACAAAAUAAAUUGCAAUGGCAACAACAGUGUAUGGGCACGGCGUAGAUAUAAACUCAUCAAACAAUUAGUGGUGAUAGUGCAGAGACCUGAACAACAUGAGAGCCAACUGCAAACUUUACUACAUGUGAGUUUUUAUUGCUAACAUCCAUUGUCAUGUUAGUGUUGGUUUUUAAGGACAUUUAAGUUUGGAAAUAAUAGUUUGCCUCGUAGUGCGGAGUGGUCUACCUCGUAAUGAUUUAAUAGGCUUUCUGGUGUGUGUGAAAGCAAAAUAAAUCAGUUUUUUUAAUGUAAUAAAUAACAAUUUAUUCGUUUAAUUAUUAUAAUAUAUAACAAAAAAACUCUCGUUUGUAAUUUUGCUUUCACUUUCACUUUAUAGCCUUAUAAAUACAGGAAUUCAUAUCUAAUUUUUUUUAAGAAUGCGUGGGGUAUACCAAGUUUUAUAAGUACAUAUAUAAAUGUUCACAUUUCGUAAUUCGUAAAUUAACAUAAUAAAAAAUAGAUAUUCAAUAAUAUCCAUAUUAGUAAUAAUAAUUUUAUAUAUUAGGAUUACAAAAACAUGUUCUGUUCAAAAAACUUGUUUCUAUUUUCAGGUCGUCCUUUCCACAAUACAUUGAACACGGUUGUUUACAUUUUAUUUAUUAAGUUGAACCUUACCUUAGUAAUCAACUUAAAUAAUAUUAUCGAGAACUCUGAUGCUAAGUUAGACCUAAAAUAAAAUUCUUGCACUACCUAUCGUUUCCUAAAAUGUACAAUAAUUAGAAACAAGUUGUCUUGUGUUACAUCCAAACACUUUGCAAUGUUUACAAUUUUUCUUUUAUGGAUAAAGGAUUGGAUAAAACUAAGCUUAUCUCGACUUCAAUCCAAAGUAAAACAAUGUACCAUACCCAGACCAGAAAGUACUUUCCUUCGCCUUCUUUGUGUGCGCAGCAGCCUCUUAUUUCCUGAAGACGAUAUUCAAUAAGACGGAAAUAGCUCUAGGGCUCGUAUCCUAGAAGGCCAAUGUAUUAUUCUUAAAGAAUAUAGAAAAGGAAAGUGACAACCGAGCAAAUGGCCUACUUGAUGGGAAAAAAUGAAUUGCCAACCUUGCUUUUGAGGAAAGGAAGAGAAUAAGGAAAUGCCAGGAAAGGGAGGAAACAAGGAAAGGACAACCGACUCUCUCACUCAUAGGACGAAACGCAGCUAUUAAAGACUACUUCACGCCGAUCUUCUGUGAGAUGGUGGUACUUCCCCGGUCGAGCCGGGCCAUGUUUAGCUGUAGUAACUGACCACAAAUAGGCUCUAUCACCUUCUUUACGUUAACUGUGUUCAUUCGCUAACGAGGUGAAAAUCUUGGUCAAUCAGUCUUGUUAUUUUUUAUCUACCUAUUUUUCAUCCACAAUUCCUUAAUUCUUUUUUUGCGUACUGCUGUUAAUACUAGCAGAAUGUCUUGACUGUAUCUUAAAGUCUGGCAGUGUAGUCAUGGACGUUUUAUAUGAUACAUUUAAAGAAAAAGUAUUUAAAAAAACAUUAUUUUUUUCAAUAAAGCAAUUUAAUUGCUUUAUGUUCUGUGUUGAAAAUUGCUUCAACAUCUAUAAAAUAUGACGCGAUCACUUAACUUUGUAUGAGUUAAACACUUAAAUAUGAGUCAGAUUAAAAUUUUAACAAAAUAUUUUACACAUAAAAUAUAUUUUUUACCA